RNAcentral lists this ribosomal RNA (492 nucleotides) under uncultured bacterium. RNAcentral's name for it is "partial 16S ribosomal RNA". It matches the Rfam family "Bacterial small subunit ribosomal RNA", at positions 29 to 507 of the family's 1533-position model. The record is from RNAcentral.
AGUGAACGCUGGCGGUAGGCCUAACACAUGCAAGUCGAACGGCAGCACAGUAAGAGCUUGCUCUUACGGGUGGCGAGUGGCGGACGGGUGAGGAAUACAUCGGAAUCUACUUUUUCGUGGGGGAUAACGUAGGGAAACUUACGCUAAUACCGCAUACGACCUACGGGUGAAAGCAGGGGAUCUUCGGACCUUGCGCGAUUGAAUUAGCCGAUGUCGGAUUAGCUAGUUGGCGGGGUAAAGGCCCACCAAGGCGACGAUCCGUAGCUGGUCUGAGAGGAUGAUCAGCCACACUGGAACGGAGACACGGUCCAGACUCCUACGGGAGGCAGCAGUGGGGAAUAUUGGACAAUGGGCGCAAGCCUGAUCCAGCCAUACCGCGUGGGUGAAGAAGGCCUUCGGGUUGUAAAGCCCUUUUGUUGGGAAAGAAAAGCAGCAGGUUAAUACCCCGCUGUUCCGACGGUACCCAAAGAAUAAGCACCGGCUAACUUCGUG